This 398-nucleotide ribosomal RNA is filed under the name uncultured bacterium. Its description in RNAcentral is "partial 16S ribosomal RNA". It matches the Rfam family "Bacterial small subunit ribosomal RNA", at positions 523 to 918 of the family's 1533-position model. The record is from RNAcentral.
CUACGUAGGGUGCGAGCGUUGUCCGGAAUUACUGGGCGUAAAGAGCUCGUAGGUGGUUUGUCGCGUCGUCUGUGAAAUUCCGGGGCUUAACUCCGGGCGUGCAGGCGAUACGGGCAUAACUUGAGUACUGUAGGGGAGACUGGAAUUCCUGGUGUAGCGGUGAAAUGCGCAGAUAUCAGGAGGAACACCGGUGGCGAAGGCGGGUCUCUGGGCAGUAACUGACGCUGAGGAGCGAAAGCAGGGGUAGCGAACAGGAUUAGAUACCCUGGUAGUCCAUGCCGUAAACGGUGGGCGCUAGGUGUAGGGGUCUUCCACGACUUCUGUGCCGUAGCUAACGCAUUAAGCGCCCCGCCUGGGGAGUACGGCCGCAAGGCUAAAACUCAAAGGAAUUGACGGGG